CCUCUUCUGAGCUGUUUCUCGCUCAGAAGAGAAGGAUGUGGUGUAUUUUUGCUUUUGUGCAUGCAUUGAAUGCUGAAAUUGAACUAUUUUCCAAUUUUGUGAUCAACGAUUCUGGACCGAACGUAUGCUGAUUUAAAUGAGGAUUAUUAUUUUGAGUUGACACCUAUUUUGAUUACUGAUGCCGGGUCAAGAACAAUCAUCUGUGAUAUUUCAAUUUUCAUUCAAUUUAAUGCAAUUCAAUUCAUAAAAAGCUGACUGAAUUCCAAAUUGAUCAACGGCCGAAGCGUUUGAGCCGAUGAAUGUUGGAACAUCAAUGAGUUUAUCAUUAUCAGAUGGACUAUUUUCCAUUGUUGAUACCUGGUUAUUAUUAUUCGUAGAUGAUGAUUCUUUUUUUUUUUUUUUAAUUAAAAACUUUAUUAAGGCGGCAAUGGCCACCGAAAAUCAAUAUAAAAAUAAUCAUAAUAAUGAUUACAAUUGUAGAAAAAAUAAAAAAUAUAACCUAACCUAACCUAACCAAUGGUCAAUCGAAUUGCCGUUCGAAAAAAUGGAACCUGAAUCAAUACCGGAACAAGUGGAAUUUUUACAUGAAAAUGCCUUUUUUUUUCUUUAUUAUUAUUUUAUUUUUGUUAUUUUUUCUUCUCUUUUUUAUAUGAUAUGAAUUGUUUAAUGAUUUUCAUGAAUUGUAAUUGAUAACAUAUUGGUUGGCCAUUGCCAAUCCUGGCGUAUUGAUAAUAAAAUUUCUUUUAAAAUUAAAAAAAA
Non-coding RNA from Dermatophagoides farinae (American house dust mite), 759 nucleotides. The record is from RefSeq and is a predicted model, not a curated record. Lineage: Eukaryota; Metazoa; Arthropoda; Arachnida; Sarcoptiformes; Pyroglyphidae.